Molecule: ribosomal RNA, 253 nt
Filed under: uncultured bacterium
Lineage: Bacteria
Description: partial 16S ribosomal RNA
Rfam family: Bacterial small subunit ribosomal RNA
Source: RNAcentral
UACGUAUGGUGCAAGCGUUAUCCGGAUUUACUGGGCGUAAAGGGAGCGCAGGCGGCGCGCCAAGUCUGAUGUGAAACCCCGGGGCUCAACCCCGGGCAUGCAUUGGAAACUGGCGAGCUGGAGUGCCGGAGAGGUAAGCGGAAUUCCUAGUGUAGCGGUGAAAUGCGUAGAUAUUAGGAGGAACACCAGUGGCGAAGGCGGCUUACUGGACGGCAACUGACGCUGAGGCUCGAAAGCGUGGGGAGCAAACAGG